GACGAACGCUGGCGGCGUGCCUAAUACAUGCAAGUAGAACGCUGAAGAGAGGAGCUUGCUCUUCUUGGAAGAGUUGCGAACGGGUGAGUAACGCGUAGGUAACCUGCCUUGUAGCGGGGGAUAACUAUUGGAAACGAUAGCUAAUACCGCAUAACAAUGGGUGACCCAUGUCAUUCAUUUGAAAGGGGCAACUGCUCCACUACAAGAUGGACCUGCGUUGUAUUAGCUAGUAGGUGAGGUAACGGCUCACCUAGGCGACGAUACAUAGCCGACCUGAGAGGGUGAUCGGCCACACUGGGACUGAGACACGGCCCAGACUCCUACGGGAGGCAGCAGUAGGGAAUCUUCGGCAAUGGGGGCAACCCUGACCGAGCAACGCCGCGUGAGUGAAGAAGGUUUUCGGAUCGUAAAGCUCUGUUGUAAGUCAAGAACGAGUGUGAGAGUGGAAAGUUCACACUGUGACGGUAGCUUACCAGAAAGGGACGGCUAACUACGUGCCAGCAGCCGCGGUAAUACGUAGGUCCCGAGCGUUGUCCGGAUUUAUUGGGCGUAAAGCGAGCGCAGGCGGUUUGAUAAGUCUGAAGUUAAAGGCUGUGGCUCAACCAUAGUUUGCUUUGGAAACUGUCAAACUUGAGUGCAGAAGGGGAGAGUGGAAUUCCAUGUGUAGCGGUGAAAUGCGUAGAUAUAUGGAGGAACACCGGUGGCGAAAGCGGCCCUCUGGUCUGUAACUGACGCUGAGGCUCGAAAGCGUGGGGAGCGAACAGG
Molecule: ribosomal RNA, 765 nt
Filed under: uncultured Streptococcus sp.
Lineage: Bacteria; Bacillati; Bacillota; Bacilli; Lactobacillales; Streptococcaceae
Description: bacterial SSU rRNA
Rfam family: Bacterial small subunit ribosomal RNA
Source: RNAcentral